RNAcentral lists this long non-coding RNA (1536 nucleotides) under Lactuca sativa (garden lettuce). RNAcentral describes it as "long non-coding RNA (LSAT_LNC005828)". Lineage: Eukaryota; Viridiplantae; Streptophyta; Magnoliopsida; Asterales; Asteraceae. The record is from RNAcentral.
GAACGAGUAUUGCAGCAGAAUCGGUAACACCAGAUACAAUUUAUAUAGCAUCUCCACCCAAUUCAAGAUACCACUCUAUCGAACAAUCUACAUUCACCACUGUCGCACUUCAUCUCACCACCAUUCACCUUCGCCUCCUCCUUUUCUCUCUAACUCUAUCGGCUGAUCUGGAAUCAAUGUCUUUUUCCUAUCAUCAUUGCACUAUGCCUCUCUCUACCUUCUCCCCCCCAUCAAUAUUCAACUUGCGUUCACGAUUUCUCACUUUCAUCGCCGCUGCUUUGCAAAACCAACCCUCGACCAUACUUGGAAAACUUAGAUAUAUAUAGCCCCGAAGAUUCAGAGGCAGAAUCAUCUGGUAUGGUUUCUUUCUUUUUAACGAUUUUGGGUUUCAUUUAGAGCUUGUUUUUAUUAAACCGAAAAACUGCAUGUGGGUUACGAUGAAUCUGUGUUUGAAUGUUAGGUAUGGUUUUUAUUUUGUUGUUUUUACUCAAAAUGAUUUCCGAAUAGAUCUAUGUUUGGGGGCUGAAGAUUACAUCUGUCGUUUUUUUGGCUUUCGAUUUUGAUAGUCAUAUUUAUGAUUUUUGUUGAUUUAUUUUACAUAAUAAUUUUAUUGAUUUAUUUUGGUAAAAUUUCAAAUUUAAUGAACUUGAAUUUGUGUGUUUUUGAUGAAAUUAUUUGCAGAUGCAUGAAGAUCUUGUAAUGAAGGAUAAAGAUGGAUGUAUGUUUUUGUUUGAUUUUGCAAUGUGCAAUCAUUUUUUAUUUACCAUACAUCUUAUAUGUUUGUGUUUGUGUUAUGUAUGUUGCAGAUAUGAGUUUCUGCUGAAGAACAUAUUUUGUUCUCAUAUUUGAGUCAGAUCUGUGUCGAUCUAUGUUUUAUCCCAUUUCACAUUUUUUUUUCGAAUCUCAUCAAAACAAAAGAAAAGCACACACGCCAAGAGGUAAAGUCUGCAAGUUAUUUUUAGGCUUUUUCUUGGGUUCGUUUUCUUAAAUUUCGACUUUUAUAUCAAAAUUUUAUAUCUGUAUUUUGUUUUUCCAUGUUUGUUUGUUAUUCUUAUCAGAUCUGUAAAAUUUAAAGUUUAUGUUUAUCUCAAGGUACAUAGAUUUGUGGUUAUUUAUCAUGUAUAGAGAGUUAGAGUUUAUUUAAUAUUUACCAGGUGUUAUAUAAUAAAGUAUAUACAUAUUUGUUUUUCAUUUCAGGUUUUAUAGAACUUGAGUUGCUGUUUGUUGAUUCCAGAUAAGCAAUGAAGCUGAUUUUUUACUUUUUUGGUUUCUUGAUAAAAAUCUAAAACUGGAAGCAAGUUUGAACUUGUAAAUGUUGUAGUCUUUUUGGUGAACAAUUUGAAAUGAUAUAUUUUUAAUACAGUUUGUAUACAAUUUUAAUAAUGGAUUGUAUUUGUCUUUGUUUAUGAAAUUAAACUGAUAAAUGUUGGCUUCGUUUAUGAUUAUAAAAUUAAACUGACAAAUGUUGGUUUUAUGAGAUGGAAAAGUGUAUUUUGUAUCUUGUGAAUCUUAGGAAUAUAUGUAAAACUUAAAAAU